This 327-nucleotide ribosomal RNA is filed under the name Triticum aestivum (bread wheat). Its description in RNAcentral is "partial small subunit ribosomal RNA". Lineage: Eukaryota; Viridiplantae; Streptophyta; Magnoliopsida; Poales; Poaceae. The record is from RNAcentral.
AUGUUUGAAAGUAAGAGUGGUCUAUACAGAAUAUCUCGAGAAGUGGAAUUAAGUGUGUUAACACAUCCAGUAGAUUUAAGAAUUGUAAGCAAAAAUAUUGAAAAUGAAUUAAAAUAUUAUGGUUACAAAUAUAUUCAUCAAGGCAUGUAUAUCAUAGGAGUCAAAGGUAUGACAAGGAAGAAAUUAGGUGUGAAGGUUUUGAUAACCUUAUUAGACAGAACAUGGGAAUCUGUAGACAAAGCAGCAUUAGGAUUUUUGGAAGGAGACAUGAAUGAGAAUAGAUUAAUAACCUAUAUAGCUCCAGACCUAAUGAUGCCCGUAAAAUAA